AGGUAUGGGACGUGAUCACGUGAACAUCAUCCGGGCGGCGGUGAAGGACUACUACGACGGAGGCACGGGCGAAUUCGUGGACGCGCUGAACAAGAGCAUAAAGGGGGCUGAUCGAUAUACUGAUUGCAGGGGGCUUGGUCAGGCAAAGUGCACGGAUGGGAGGAUUACGGCAAGAACCAGACGGCGUGUCCUGACAUAUAUGGGUCGGAGAGCAUCACCGCAGCAUGCGACUCGGCGUACAAGGACGCGACGGAAGAUUCGAUGGUGGGCGCGGGAGCAGGCUGCCGGUGGUGAACCUGAGGCUGGCGCAAGGCGGCGUCCGAUUGGCGGCUACGCUCAACAGGAUAUUUGGUCAAUCCAAGGCUUAGUGAUUAUUAUGUCGCUUUUUAUAGACUGCAAGUGUUGUUGUUUUUUUUAACUUGGCACAUAUGAUGCUGGUCGAGUUGGUGCUGUUCAUUUUUCUAUCGAAAUAUCGAAAUAAUUAAAGUGGAUAGA
Long non-coding RNA from Triticum aestivum (bread wheat), 495 nucleotides. RefSeq lists it as uncharacterized. The record is from RefSeq and is a predicted model, not a curated record. The transcript is spliced from 4 exons. NCBI's taxonomy places the organism in Eukaryota, Viridiplantae, Streptophyta, Magnoliopsida, Poales, Poaceae.